GAAUCCCGUCUUUGACACGGACUACCUGUACAUUAUGGUGUGCUCUCGAAGAGUCGAGUUGUUUGGGAAUGCAGCUCAAAAUGGGUGGUAAAUGCCAUCUAAAGCUAAAUAUUGGCGAGAGACCGAUAGCGAACAAGUACCGUGAGGGAAAGAUGAAAAGGACUUUGGAAAGAGAGUUAAACAGUACGUGAAAUUGCUGAAAGGGAAACGCUUGAAGUCAGUCGCGCCGUUCGGGAUCCAGCCUUGCUUCUGCUCGGUUUACUUCCCGUUGGGUGGGUCAACAUCAGUUUCGGACGGAGGAGAAAGGCUUGGGGAAGGUAGCAGCAUUCGUGCUGUGUUAUAGCCCCUUGUUGUAUACUUCGAUUGGGACUGAGGACUGCAGCGCGCCUAUGGCCGGGGUUUACCCACGUACGUGCUUAGGAUGUUGGCAUAAUGGCUUUAAGCGACCCGUCUUGAAACACGGACCAAGGAGUCUAACAUGUGCGCGAGUGUUUGGGUGUUAAACUCGGACGCGAAAUGAAAGUAAAAGGUUGGGAACACUUCUGUGUGCACCGACGCCCGGAGCAGACCUUCUGUGACGCAUCUGCGGUAGAGCGUAUAUGUUGGGACCCGAAAGAUGGUGAACUAUGCCUGAAUAGGGUGAAGCCAGAGGAAACUCUGGUGGAGGCUCGUAGCGAUUCUGACGUGCAAAUCGAUCGUCAAAUUUGGGUAUAGGGGCGAAAGACUAAUCGAACCAUCUAGUAGCUGGUUCCUGCC
Molecule: ribosomal RNA, 756 nt
Filed under: uncultured Sebacina
Lineage: Eukaryota; Fungi; Basidiomycota; Agaricomycetes; Sebacinales; Sebacinaceae
Description: partial 28S ribosomal RNA
Rfam family: Eukaryotic large subunit ribosomal RNA
Source: RNAcentral